This is a small nuclear RNA of Cimex lectularius (bed bug), 138 nucleotides long. RefSeq annotates it as U4 spliceosomal RNA. The transcript has a single exon. The record is from RefSeq and is a predicted model, not a curated record. Lineage: Eukaryota; Metazoa; Arthropoda; Insecta; Hemiptera; Cimicidae.
CCCCUUGCGCAGUGGCAAUAUCGUAAUCAAUGAAGUUCUACUGAGAUGCGAUUAUUGCUAGUUGAAAACUGAGAUGUUAACGCUAGAAUCCUGUUUGCCUCCUCUAUUCUCGUAUGCCUUUUCCCUCCACCUAAAAGU